UACGGAGGGUGCAAGCAUUAAUCGGAUUUACUGGGCGUAAAGGGUGCGUAGGCGGUAAUUUAAGUCAGAUGUGAAAUUCCGGUACUCAAUACCGGAGCUGCAUUUGAAACUGAAUUUCUAGAGGUUGGACGGAGAGAACGGAAUUCCAUGUGUAGCGGUGAAAUGCGUAGAUAUAUGGAAGAACACCUGUGGCGAAAGCGGUUCUCUAGUUUACACCUGACGCUGAGGCACGAGAGCGUGGGGAGCAAACAGG
This 253-nucleotide ribosomal RNA is filed under the name uncultured bacterium. RNAcentral describes it as "partial 16S ribosomal RNA". It matches the Rfam family "Bacterial small subunit ribosomal RNA", at positions 524 to 776 of the family's 1533-position model. The record is from RNAcentral.